UGGUGGCAUUGCAGCACCCUGUGGUAGGCCACUAUGGCCUGGCAUCUGCAUCAUUCCAGGGCCCAUUUGGGGUGGCACAGAUCCAGGUGGCAAGUAAGGAUGAUUAUUCAUCUGCGCAGGCAUAGAAUGGGGUGCUACUGGAACAGCUGCAGCCCACCCAGCUGAAGGCUGAGGCAUCACUGGAUGGUCUGGAGGAGAAGCAAACUGAGUUCCACUGUAUGGAUGAGCAGGGGG
This 234-nucleotide unclassified non-coding RNA is filed under the name Hevea brasiliensis (rubber tree). Lineage: Eukaryota; Viridiplantae; Streptophyta; Magnoliopsida; Malpighiales; Euphorbiaceae. The record is from RNAcentral.